CCUACGGAUGGCAGCAGUGAGGAAUAUUGGUCAAUGGGCGGAAGCCUGAACCAGCCAAGUCGCGUGAGGGAAUAAGGCCCUACGGGUCGUAAACCUCUUUUGCCGGGGAGCAAGGGCGGGGACGUGUCCCGGCCCGGAGAGUACCCGGAGAAAAAGCAUCGGCUAACUCCGUGCCAGCAGGCGCGGGAAUAAGGAGGAUGAGAGCGUUAGCAGGAUUUAUUUGGUUUAAAGGGUGCGUAGGCGGGCUGUUAACUCAGCGGUAAAAAUUCGGGGGUCAACCCCGUCCGGCCGUUGAAACUGGGGGCCUUGGGUGGGCGAGAAGAAGGCGGAAUGCGUGGUGUAGCGGUGAAAUGCAUAGAUAUCACGCAGAACCCCGAUUGCGAAGGCAGCCUUCCGGCGCCCUACUGACGCUGAGGCACGAAAGUGCGGGGAUCGAACAGGAUUAGAUACCCGGGUAGUC
This 460-nucleotide ribosomal RNA is filed under the name uncultured bacterium. Its description in RNAcentral is "partial 16S ribosomal RNA". It matches the Rfam family "Bacterial small subunit ribosomal RNA", at positions 338 to 795 of the family's 1533-position model. The record is from RNAcentral.